UGCAAGUCGAGCGGACAGAUGGGAGCUUGCUCCCUGAUGUUAGCGGCGGACGGGUGAGUAACACGUGGGUAACCUGCCUGUAAGACUGGGAUAACUCCGGGAAACCGGGGCUAAUACCGGAUGCUUGAUUGAACCGCAUGGUUCAAUUAUAAAAGGUGGCUUUUAGCUACCACUUACAGAUGGACCCGCGGCGCAUUAGCUAGUUGGUGAGGUAACGGCUCACCAAGGCGACAAUGCGUAGCCAACCUGAGAGGGUGAUCGGCCACACUGGGACUGAAACACGGCCCAAACUCCUACGGGAGGCAGCAGUAGGGAAUCUUCCGCAAUGGACAAAAGUCUGACGGAGCAACGCCGCGUGAGUGAUGAAGGUUUUCGGAUCGUAAAACUCUGUUGUUAGGGAAAAACAAGUACCGUUCGAAUAGGGCGGUACCUUGACGGUACCUAACCAAAAAGCCACGGCUAACUACGUGCCAGCAGCCGCGGUAAUACGUAGGUGGCAAGCGUUGUCCGGAAUUAUUGGGCGUAAAGCGCGCGCAGGCGGUUUCUUAAGUCUGAUGUGAAAGCCCCCGGCUCAACCGGGGAGGGUCAUUGGAAACUGGGGAACUUGAGUGCAGAAGAGGAGAGUGGAAUUCCACGUGUAGCGGUGAAAUGCGUAGAGAUGUGGAGGAACACCAGUGGCGAAGGCGACUCUCUGGUCUGUAACUGACGCUGAGGCGCGAAAGCGUGGGGAGCGAACAGGA
This 740-nucleotide ribosomal RNA is filed under the name Bacillus licheniformis. RNAcentral describes it as "bacterial SSU rRNA". It matches the Rfam family "Bacterial small subunit ribosomal RNA", at positions 56 to 777 of the family's 1533-position model. Lineage: Bacteria; Bacillati; Bacillota; Bacilli; Caryophanales; Bacillaceae. The record is from RNAcentral.